CAUUUAAAGAAAGCGUAAUAGCUCACUGGUCGAGUCGGCCUGCGCGGAAGAUGUAACGGGGCUAAACCAUGCACCGAAGCUGCGGCAGCGAACGUAUCACUUAAAGCGAUUCAGCGGGUUACGAUUGACGGAGCGAAGCGACGUCAAAGCGUAUACAAAGUCGAGUCGGUUUAAGGAUACGUUCGUUGGGUAGGGGAGCGUUCUGUAAGCCUGUGAAGGUGGCCUGUGAGGGUUGCUGGAGGUAUCAGAAGUGCGAAUGCUGACAUAAGUAACGAUAAAGCGGGUGAAAAGCCCGCUCGCCGGAAGACCAAGGGUUCCUGUCCAACGUUAAUCGGGGCAGGGUGAGUCGACCCCUAAGGCGAGGCCGAAAGGCGUAGUCGAUGGGAAACGGGUUAAUAUUCCCGUACUUGGUGUUACUGCGAAGGGGGGACGGAGAAGGCUAUGUUGGCCGGGCGACGGUUGUCCCGGUUUAAGCGUGUAGGUGUGUGUUCCAGGUAAAUCCGGUUCACUUUAACACUGAGGCGUGAUGACGAGGCACUACGGUGCUGAAGCAACAAAUGCCCUGCUUCCAGGAAAAGCCUCUAAGCAUCAGGUAACAUCAAAUCGUACCCCAAACCGA
RNAcentral lists this ribosomal RNA (619 nucleotides) under Salmonella enterica subsp. enterica serovar Agona. RNAcentral's name for it is "partial 23S ribosomal RNA". It matches the Rfam family "Bacterial large subunit ribosomal RNA", at positions 1120 to 1657 of the family's 2925-position model. Lineage: Bacteria; Pseudomonadati; Pseudomonadota; Gammaproteobacteria; Enterobacterales; Enterobacteriaceae. The record is from RNAcentral.